Molecule: long non-coding RNA, 1932 nt
Organism: Papaver somniferum (opium poppy)
Lineage: Eukaryota; Viridiplantae; Streptophyta; Magnoliopsida; Ranunculales; Papaveraceae
Exons: 2
Source: RefSeq, a predicted model, not a curated record
ACUCCAUUAACCUAAUUCAAGGUUCUUAGACUGAACUCUUGGAAGCAAAGAUUAGAAAUGUUAGGGGAUCUUUUACUUCAAGGAUUCAAAUUGGACUUCAAGAGCUACUGAAAGGUACUUCUUAUUCCAUCUUUCACUUCUGGGUUUUUGAACUACAAUUACUAAUGCUCAGAAAAAUUUGAGUUUAGGGUUUUCGUUUCUGCUCUGAGUGAUUCGUUGUAAAAUUGGAGAUUAGGGUUCUGAACCACAAAUUUUGGGGGGCUUACUUUUCAUUAGGUUAACUCUUAAAGAAUGGAAGAAGCAAGAAAUGCACCUUAUUAUAGUGGGCAAGAUAGAAUCAGUAGGUUGGCUGAUAACUUGAUUCAUCAGAUCCUGUCUUCUGUUGAUACUAAACACGCAGUUAAGACUAGUGUUUUGUCGAAAAGAUGGAUUCAUGUUUGGAAAUCAUUACCUUUUCUAAACUUCAUUAGGAGUUCGUUUUCACAUGAGAAUACUCAGAGGUUCAUAGAUUUUGUUUACAUGGUGUUCAUAUUUGGCGAUGACACUGAUAUUCAAAAGUUUAGUGUGGAUUGGGAGAACUCUGCAUCUGAUAAUAUGGUGAUAAUGAAUGUUAAUAGAUGGAGCCUUCAUGCCGUUAAGCAUGAUGUUCAAGAAAUAAGUAUAGUAAUUGAGGAAUUGCAUGAUUUGCCUUAUGAAAUUCCUUACCAACUCCUGGAUUGUAAGUCACUGAGAAAGCUGGUAAUAGAAGUGUUCGAGACUGCCGAAUAUUUACAUAUUAUUCUACCAAGAUCAAUGAAUUUACCUCAUCUUGAAGUACUGAGCUUAAAUAGAUCAUCAAUCUCCAAUGUAGAAUUAUCUAAAACACUCUUUUCAAGUUGUCCAGUUCUUAAAACAGUGCACUUAGUUGAUUGUGAGAUACAAACUGAUAAUCACGGGAAUUGUUGCUUCUCCCAUCCUUGAGAAGUUCGAGUAUUCUGAUAAUUGUCGUCGACCACUUUUGCCGCAAAAUGAUAACAUUAUCAAGCUAUGUGCUCCAAAUCUGAAAAACUUCACUUUCUGUUCUUUAAUGGCCCAAAAUUAUUCUCUAGAAAUAUGUAGUCCACUAUCCAGCGUAGUUUUUGGCAUGUUUCUCGAAGAGAGUGAAAAAAAAUGAGAAUGCGGAUAGAUAUUCGAAACUGCCUUCAACAGAAAAAACUGUCUAUGCUAAAUGUAUGAUGAAAUUUCUAGGAGCGGUUUAUGUGGUGAAAGAUAUGAAAUUUUCACCUGGAUUCCUUGAGUCAUGUUUUGCGGACGUUGGAGAUGACUGGGAAGCAGGAUUGUCAUCUCUGGAAAUGUUGUGUGGCCUCAAGUAUGUCCAGAUUGAAAAAGUGAAAGUAUGUGAUGCUGAUUGCUGAGAUCAAACCUCUGAGGUUUUUGUUGAAACAUGCAAAGUUUUUGGAGAAAGUUGUUUGGCGUUUUUCGUUCUUGUGGAUCACCUGAUAGAGCGAGCCAAGUUGCGCAAUUUAUGAAGAUGCUAAAAGCAAUUCCUGCAGCUUCUUCAAGUAUCAAAUGGUAUGCUCUUAGAACAUAGUAGGUGACAUUGUGAGCUUAUCACUAGAACCCGCAACAUAAAUUAGCGAGAUAAUCAGAUGUAUCAAACGAACAACGGAUAACUCCAUAUUCGGCUAGAAGCAAGACUUGCAACAGAUGCAUUGUGAGCACGACUUCCCUUCUGUUAUCAAGUAGUUCGUGUUUCCGCUUUUCGUGUUUCGUGCUUGAAUCCCAAAAUAAGUUUUCACUGUAUUCCAAGACAAUUCUCCCAUGGACUUAAAAAAGUACAUAAAAGUACAAGCAUUUUCAUUGAAUUUUUCAUUAACAAAAUAUUCAUGGGACUCAUCCAGAGGGAUAGAUACCCAAUGUUAAGUUCAAGUUAUCAAGUUUCUUUGAUUCUAA